GACAGGCAUGGUGGCACGCGCCUGUAGUUCCAGCUGCUCUGGAGGCUGAGGCAGGAUGAUCGCUUGAGCCCAUAGCUUCUGGGCUAUACCCAUUGGGUUUCCACACUAAGUUUGGCAUCAGUUUGGUGACCUUCUGGAGCAGGAGACCACCAGGUUGCCUAAGGAGAAGUGAACUGGCUUAGGUUGGAAACAACAGGUCAAAACUCCUGUGCUGAUCAGUAGUGGGAUUGCACUCCAGCCUUGGCAACCUAGCAAGACCCAAUCUAUU
This is an unclassified non-coding RNA of Macaca mulatta (Rhesus monkey), 268 nucleotides long. It matches the Rfam family "Metazoan signal recognition particle RNA". Rfam says of the family: The signal recognition particle (SRP) is a universally conserved ribonucleoprotein. It is involved in the co-translational targeting of proteins to membranes. The eukaryotic SRP consists of a 300-nucleotide 7S RNA and six proteins: SRPs 72, 68, 54, 19, 14, and 9. The record is from Ensembl. NCBI's taxonomy places the organism in Eukaryota, Metazoa, Chordata, Mammalia, Primates, Cercopithecidae.